Molecule: ribosomal RNA, 253 nt
Filed under: uncultured bacterium
Lineage: Bacteria
Description: partial 16S ribosomal RNA
Rfam family: Bacterial small subunit ribosomal RNA
Source: RNAcentral
UACGGAGGGUGCAAGCGUUAUCCGGAUUCACUGGGUUUAAAGGGUGCGUAGGCGGGCAGGGAAGUCCGUGGUGAAAGCCUGGGGCUUAACCCCAGAAGGGCCACAGAUACUCUCUGUCUUGAAUGUUGUGGAGGUGAGCGGAAUAUGUCAUGUAGCGGUGAAAUGCUUAGAGAUGACAUAGAACACCAAUUGCGAAGGCAGCUCACUACGCAACCAUUGACGCUGAGGCACGAAAGCGUGGGGAUCAAACAGG